GACGAACGCUGGCGGCGUGCUUAACACAUGCAAGUCGAGCGGUAAGGCCCUUUCGGGGGUACACGAGCGGCGAACGGGUGAGUAACAUGUGGGUGACCUGCCCUCAGCUCUGGGAUAAGCCUGGGAAACUGGGUCUAAUACCGGAUAUGACUCCAUGACGCAUGUUGUGGGGUGGAAAGCCUUGUGCGGCUGAGGAUGGGCCCGCGGCCUAUCAGCUUGUUGGUGGGGUGAUGGCCUACCAAGGCGACGACGGGUAGCCGGCCUGAGAGGGCGACCGGCCACACUGGGACUGAGACACGGCCCAGACUCCUACGGGAGGCAGCAGUGGGGAAUCUUGCGCAAUGGGCGAAAGCCUGACGCAGCGACGCCGCGUGAGGGAUGACGGCCU
RNAcentral lists this ribosomal RNA (388 nucleotides) under uncultured bacterium. RNAcentral describes it as "bacterial SSU rRNA". It matches the Rfam family "Bacterial small subunit ribosomal RNA", at positions 28 to 417 of the family's 1533-position model. The record is from RNAcentral.